Molecule: long non-coding RNA, 504 nt
Organism: Uranotaenia lowii
Lineage: Eukaryota; Metazoa; Arthropoda; Insecta; Diptera; Culicidae
Exons: 3
Source: RefSeq, a predicted model, not a curated record
CCCGCGCGAGGAUAUCUCCAUCGAUGGUGUAGCUAAUGGAAAUUUUCAACACAAUUGGCCAACGUCGGGAGACAUUGGAACAUGCAUCCUGGAGGUGGGACGAAAGAUGCUCCUUUUAUUUCAACUAACCCGCACUGGAACCGGGCGCAGUUUCAGUCGGGCCGAGAAAUGUAUUCCUUCAGUUUUAAUGUCUGUCUAAAUCAGGAAAGCUCUCUUCGAUGCCAUCCAAGUUCCCUGACCGGAAGAUUGGAAGAUCAUCACGGCCCGUUUUCUGGAUUGUUGGCCACAAGAGGACUGUCAAAACAUCGCAAAUCGAUAUGACCAAACGAACGGGGGUCAGCGAUUUAAAGAAUUUUUCGAUGAAUCAUCAAAGAGUGAAGCAGUCCGGCGUUUUGUGCUACCAUCAUGAAAAAAAGUGACGUUAUCACUUUUUUGAAAAAAUAUGUGUUAAAAAUGAAUAUAACUCUUAAGGCUUCCAAAAUAUAAUAAUAUGAGAUAAUUGUA